GUCCAUGCCGUAAACGAUGUCUACUAGCCGUUGGGGCCUUUGAGGCUUUAGUGGCGCAGCUAACGCGAUAAGUAGACCGCCUGGGGAGUACGGUCGCAAGACUAAAACUCAAAUGAAUUGACGGGGGCCCGCACAAGCGGUGGAGCAUGUGGUUUAAUUCGAUGCAACGCGAAGAACCUUACCUGGUCUUGACAUAGUAAGAGCUUUUCCAGAGAUGGAUUUGUGCCUUCGGGAACUUACAUACAGGUGCUGCAUGGCUGUCGU
RNAcentral lists this ribosomal RNA (264 nucleotides) under uncultured bacterium. RNAcentral describes it as "partial 16S ribosomal RNA". It matches the Rfam family "Bacterial small subunit ribosomal RNA", at positions 793 to 1055 of the family's 1533-position model. The record is from RNAcentral.